UGGAAAACAGAUUUAAACCACGUUUGAAACAUUACUUCCUGUUUGCUAGUGCUGUGAGAAAACGUUGUUAUCGAAGGAUGCUGUCAGGAUGCUAAAACAAACUCUGGAGCUGCUUUUUGUCGUUAAUGAAGAGGUCAGGAUGCUAAAACAAGCCCUGGAGCUGCUUUUUUGUCGAACACGAGUGAAACUUGGACGCUGUACACACCUGCGGCGUAAAGGUUUACUCAUUCAGCUAGUGCAGCCUGGGCAGAAACACCAGCUCUCGCCUUACAAACCAAACAGGUGUCUCCACUUAGUCCAUGAUCAGAGAGUCUUUGUACAAUGAAGUUCUUUGAAACCAGGACUGAGGCCUCCAGGAUUCAAACUUCAGCCAUUAAAAUCAGAGAGAAGAGACAGAUGAAGACAUUUCCAGAAGGUCAGUGUUAGUUCAUUCUUUUCAGUCUUGACUUGUCGCAAAACUUUUGCACAGCACUGUGUGUGUGUAUAUAUAUAAUUAUUAAGCUAAUUUAGAAUCUUAAAAUGUUUUUUUUAACUAACUAUCAAAUCCAUAAAAAGUUAACUACAAAACCUUAAGCAACAAGUCUAAAAACAAGUGCAAAGCCUUUAAGAUAUGAAACCUUUACAAAAUAUAUUUAAAACGUAAGUAUGAAACUUUAUUCCAGACAACAUUUAACAAAUCACAGCAAAAUAUAAUGACAGACAUUUGACCACAAAGAAACACUUGUUAGAAAUGGUUAGGGUUAAUGUAGUUAUGAGCACAUUUUCCGAAGAUGAACAUGUCUACUAAGCAUCUUUGUGAUCAUUUAACUGCUUGUGAUACAACUAUUUUAUUAAUAAUUGUAUUAUAAGCAGUUGAAUGUUCUCACAGGUGUUAAAUAAAGACAUAUUAGUCUUUGGAAAAUGUGCCCAUGACUACAUUACAAAUGGCAGAGAAAAACAAAGUGUUUUCUCUUGAACAACAGGAAACCAACACUGUAAACAGCAGUUAGCUGGUGGAGGUUUUUUAAUGUGAUUAACAGCUUCGUAACACUGUUUUCUUUCAUCCAUUUCAGGUCUCAGCUGCUGUCGUCUUCUCCUCCUGCAGAAACAAGAACAUGUGUUAAUCACAGAAACCUAUUUUUCCUUUCCUAAACUGUCCUUAUUCAUUGUUGAUACCUAAUUACAGUGAUUUAAACUUUUUACAACUCAGUAUCAUAUUUAGAUGUUUUUCUAAUUAUUACAGUCACAGUAAUAACUAGAAAUAUUUUUAUAUAGCCCUUCAGAACUAAGAACCUACUGUAAUUAUUACAUAGUUAUCUCUCAAAUUGAACCAUGUAAUAAAUACAGGAAAACUUAAAAAGGUAAAUGAAAACUGAAAUGGCUUUACUAAGGCUAAGUUAAUAAAUUAUUAUUAUUUUACUAAAAUUAUGUAUUUUAAUAAUUAUUUAGCUAGGUUUAUAAGUUAUUACUAAAUUCUUACUAAGAUUAUUUGUACUUAAUAAAUUAUUUUUCAUGACAUAUGCUAUGGCAUUUUUUGAAACCUCAGUAUACUUUGACAUUUUUACUUCUAUUACUAUUACUUCUGCAUUGCUUUUAUAGUACAGAUUGCUUUUACUGUUACCUCUGAUAUUAGAUUACUUUUACCAGUACAUAUUACUUUUCUUAUUACAUAUUACUUUUAAUUUUAUAGAUAACUUUUACUGUUGCAAACUACUGCAUCUUACUUCUGAUAUUGCUAAUUACUUUUACAUUACUUCUAUUAAUACAGAUUAUUUAUAUUGCAGAUUACUUCUAUUAUUACACUUUUCUGAUAUACUGAACAUAAACAAUUUAAUGUCAGUGCUCUGUGUUGGACAUUAUGUGUGUAUUA
Molecule: long non-coding RNA, 1849 nt
Organism: Lates calcarifer (barramundi perch)
Lineage: Eukaryota; Metazoa; Chordata; Actinopteri; Centropomidae
Exons: 4
Source: RefSeq, a predicted model, not a curated record